Long non-coding RNA from Peromyscus eremicus (cactus mouse), 1325 nucleotides. RefSeq lists it as uncharacterized. The record is from RefSeq and is a predicted model, not a curated record. The transcript is spliced from 4 exons. NCBI's taxonomy places the organism in Eukaryota, Metazoa, Chordata, Mammalia, Rodentia, Cricetidae.
CAUUUAGUGAUAGUCUGACGGUAACAUACACUUGUAGUGGUACUCUAGUGGAUAAUUAUGCCUGAAUUUAGGGUGGUGGUGGCUGUCAAAUCUAUCAUGGUGGAGAGGUGCUUGAGCAUAGACAGUGGCCAUGGGAAACAACAUGUGUCAUAAGCCUGACUGUCAUGCACCCUUGUCCUCAACUCUGCCUGAGAGUGGGGAACCUUUUGGUCACAUUCACUGGUAACUUAUAGUCAUGUCAUAAGCAAACCUUUUUUGAAGAGAUUUUCCUAGUUGCCCCUUUGGAAACAGUUAUUCUGAGCAACUAAUGAUUUCUACAAGGAGGAUACAGACUUGCAUGAGAGUGCCACAUAGCAUAUGUUUUAGACUAUCUCCUCUUUCUGUGAUAAGUGAGGACUAGAAAAUAAAUAAAUGAAAGAGUAAAACUACCAGUGUGUACUGAAAUAUGAAUUUCCUAUAGUUUUUUUGUUGUUGUUUUUGUUUUUCGAGACAAGAUUUCUCUGUGUAACUUCACACUUGUCCUGGAACUCACUCUGUAGCCCAGGCUGGCCUCAAACUCACAGAUAUCUGCCUGCCUCUGCCCCCAAGCACUGGGAUUAAAUGCGUGUGCCACCACCACCUGGUACCUCCUGUCAUCUUUAAAAUAGUCACCUCAGGCCCGAGUGAUGGGAUUAAAGGGGUGCGCCACCACCGCCUGGCGAAUUUCCUAUAGUUUUAAUGUGUCACAUUAUUCUGAUGCCUUUUACAUUUUAUUCAGCCGUUUACAAAUGUAAAGGUUGUCCUUAACUUAGAUGCUGUACAAAAACAAGUUGUUACCCUGAGUGCAUUUUCGUUACAAAAAACUUUGAGGUAGAGAGAGUAAGGAGACUGAGAUGCUAAUUCCCUUCAUCGCUAAGGGUCACAAGUCCUUACAAUUAUUAUUAUUUUUAAUGCUCUAUUUUAUUCUUCUAUUUGAGUUUGGGAACCCAAGAGACAAAACCGUAUACAAACAAGGAACCUCCAGCCAGCACAGCAGGGUGAAGUCCCAGAAGAGCAGUGUCUCUAGGAAGGAUUUAAGUGCCCGGUAUGCUCAAAAUUUGUACCUUCAGAUGAAAUGGAUUUGCAUCUUGUGAUGUGUUUAACAAAGCCAAGAAUAACCUAUAAUGGGAUUAUUUCACAUUUCAGCUGCUUUUGUUUUCUUCUGCUAUCAUUGAGGGGUCAAGAAAAAGUAAAGCUUCAGAGGAUGUUCUGAGUAAAGAUGCUGGGGAAUGUGCAAUAUGCCUUGAAGAAUUGCAGCAGGGAGAUACCAUAGCACGACUGCCUUGCCUGUGUAUAUAUCAUAAAGG